CGAACGAGACCCUUGCAUCUAGUCGCCAGCAGAUCCCUUCGGGAUGCUGGGUACCCUAGAUGGACCGCCACUGCUAAAGUGGAGGAAGGAGAGGGCGACGGUAGGUCAGUAUGCCCCCGAAUCUCCGGGCUACACGCGGCCUACAAUGGACAGGACAAUGGGCUCCGAUCCCGAAAGGGAAAGGCAAUCCUUUAAACCUGUUCUUAGUUCGGAUUGAGGGCUGUAACUCGCCCUCAUGAAGCUGGAAUCUCUAGUAAUCGCGUGUCAUUAUCGCGCGGUGAAUACGUCCCUGCUCCUU
This 298-nucleotide ribosomal RNA is filed under the name uncultured Thermoplasmata archaeon. Its description in RNAcentral is "partial 16S ribosomal RNA". It matches the Rfam family "Archaeal small subunit ribosomal RNA", at positions 1042 to 1338 of the family's 1478-position model. The record is from RNAcentral. Lineage: Archaea; Methanobacteriati; Thermoplasmatota; Thermoplasmata.